RNAcentral lists this transfer RNA (72 nucleotides) under Verrucomicrobiia bacterium. RNAcentral describes it as "tRNA-Arg". It matches the Rfam family "tRNA". From Rfam's summary of the family: Transfer RNA (tRNA) molecules are approximately 80 nucleotides in length. Their secondary structure includes four short double-helical elements and three loops (D, anti-codon, and T loops). The record is from RNAcentral. Lineage: Bacteria; Pseudomonadati; Verrucomicrobiota; Verrucomicrobiia. RNAcentral also lists the same sequence under 1 other name.
GUCCCGAUAGUUCAACGGAUAGAACAAGGGUUUCCUAAACCUUAGAUCUGGGUUCGAUUCCCGGUCGGGAUG